UACGAAGGGGGCUAGCGUUGUUCGGAAUUACUGGGCGUAAAGGGCGCGUAGGCGGUGCCUCAAGUCAGGCGUGAAAGCCCCGGGCUCAACCUGGGAACCGCGCUUGAGACUGGAGUACUAGAGUUCAGGAGAGGAUGGUGGAAUUCCCAGUGUAGAGGUGAAAUUCGUAGAUAUUGGGAAGAACACCGAUGGCGAAGGCAGCCAUCUGGACCGACACUGACGCUGAGGCGCGAAAGCGUGGGGAGCGAACAGG
Molecule: ribosomal RNA, 253 nt
Filed under: uncultured bacterium
Lineage: Bacteria
Description: partial 16S ribosomal RNA
Rfam family: Bacterial small subunit ribosomal RNA
Source: RNAcentral